Molecule: ribosomal RNA, 253 nt
Filed under: uncultured bacterium
Lineage: Bacteria
Description: partial 16S ribosomal RNA
Rfam family: Bacterial small subunit ribosomal RNA
Source: RNAcentral
UACGUAGGGGGCAAGCGUUACCCGGAUUUACUGGGUGUAAAGGGGGCGCAGACGGCGAUGCAAGCCUGAUGUGAAAGCCCGGGGCUCAACCCCGGGACUGCAUUGGAAACUGCCCUGCUGGAGUGCCGGAGGGGCAGGCGGAAUUCCUAGUGUAGCGGUGAAAUGCGUAGAUAUUAGGAGGAACACCAGUGGCGAAGGCGGCCUGCUGGACGGUGACUGACGCUGAGGCUCGAAAGCGUGGGGAGCAAACAGG